CAGUAGCCACGGUAAUACGUAGGUCCCGAGCGUUGUCCGGAUUUAUUGGGCGUAAAGCGAGCGCAGGCGGUUAGAUAAGUCUGAAGUUAAAGGCUGUGGCUUAACCAUAGUACGCUUUGGAAACUGUUUAACUUGAGUGCAGAAGGGGAGAGUGGAAUUCCAUGUGUAGCGGUGAAAUGCGUAGAUAUAUGGAGGAACACCGGUGGCGAAAGCGGCUCUCUGGUCUGUAACUGACGCUGAGGCUCGAAAGCGUGGGGAGCGAACAGGAUUAGAUACCCCAGUAGUCCCUGUCUCUUAUACA
This 301-nucleotide ribosomal RNA is filed under the name uncultured bacterium. RNAcentral's name for it is "partial 16S ribosomal RNA". It matches the Rfam family "Bacterial small subunit ribosomal RNA", at positions 509 to 808 of the family's 1533-position model. The record is from RNAcentral.